CUUUGGAACUGGGAAGGUUCGGUUGGAGGUUGAAGUGAAUGGGGAAAUUGCGAAUCGGGGGCUUUAAAAGGAUCCCGUGGCCAGGGGCAGGGCUAAGGCCCAGCAUUUCCCAGGGAUUGGAAUUUAGUGGGGAGCACAUUGAUCAAAGGCUGUUUCAUCCCACAUGGGCACGAAACAUACCACAUUUUACGGAGGAUGUAGCCCCAGAGAAGAGGGAGGUGGAGAAGCAUAAAUGAAAAGCACCUUUUCCUUCCUCUAGAAGAUGCACAGAGAAUUUCUGACCUUGUGACGUUUGGGAGUGAGGAGAUCCCAUACAGAGGCAUCCAGGUAUUUCCAGAGAUCCUGUGGCAGGUGAGGUCUGCCCUCGCUGGAGCCAACUCGUCUAUAAUGUCUUCCUAACAGCAGGAGUCGCCUGCGGGGAGGAGAGGAGAGGACAGACUAAGCUACGCGUAGAGCGGCAUCAGGAGCAAGUUACCGUUAGCAUGUGUAAACAAAACAACUCGACUCCUCUGUGUCAGAAUCAACAACAUCAAAGGUGUCUGUGGGGGGUCACUUUUAUUUUUAAAACAAUCCUGGAUUCUUGUUCGGCAAUUUUAGUGUCUUCCUUCUGGGUUUGUCCUAAGGCACGCAGGAGAGAAGGUAAUGUUCGAGAAAAAAGCUGGGUCGGCAAGUUUGGCUCCGGAGCCUAUGAACUAUGAAUCACCGCGGUGAAGAGGUUUUCUUUUUUCUUUCUUUUUUUUUUUUUUUCCUCACCCUCUUCUUUUCUCCCGGAGCGUGAACUUGUUAGAUAAGAUAGAUGAGGCUACAAGGAAAUAGAAACGCUGAAAAAGCCCAGCUCCUUUGGAGAGCAGCCUGUGGGGCUGGCAGGCGGCUGCCGCGCGCCCUCCCCCAGCUGAGGGGCACCGGGGUAGCUCCGGAGCUGUCCCAACUUGGGUCUCCUGGGCCCCCCGCGGGGCCAGACAUCACGCUCAGAUCGCUGCCUUGGCCAUCUUACCUUUUGGCCAUAGAAUAAACACCCCGAAAGACGAGAGAAAGGCCUCUGUUUGAGCUGAGUGUCUGCUCUCCCGCUCGAAACACAGAACAGGGCCCGCAGGUUUUCCUAGAGGAAGUCCCCAUCACAAAACAGUCGGACAGUGGGAGACGCUAGAGAAUUCUGGAAUUACACAUGAAACAUUAUUUUCCUAAUUAAUUAAAAAUAAUUCUCUUUUCCUAUUUAUAUGCAUACACACGCUACUGAUUACACGUCCCUAUUUACUUGAAAAAUUGCUUGGAGUAUCUUUAGUACACAAUGCUCAUUCUUUGUCCCCUUGAACAUUUACAGCUGAUAAUGUGGCUGGUUGGGAUCAAUUAGCACUGGAUUUUGCCCCAGGAUUGCUCCCCAGGGCGGACAAGUGGAGCCAGCUCAUCUCCAGCGACUUUUACUUCGCUCACGUGCAUAUCCACGCCAGGGCUGCAGAAGCAUUUCAAAAUCCGCAGCCUUGGUUUCACUUGAUUUUGUUGUUGUUAUUGAUAAAUAUUGGGUCAUACACAAGCCACUUGUCAGAGCCUUUGGCUCCAUCUCGCAGCUGCAGCUCCUAGCGGGACGUUGGAGUCUUGUCCUAGGAACUGGAAGGAUUUACUGGGAAAAGAAUUACACAUUCUCUGCUCCUUCAGUUUUGGAGAUGGUCCCUUAAGAUCAUAUCAUAUCGUCUGUCUGCUUGCUGUCACAUUUAUUUCUUGAUUGUUCUGAUAUGUGAACAAUGGGAAGGUGUGUGCAUCUUUUCCCCCUGUCUUUUUAAAACAAUUAUUGAAAUGGUUUAAAAGGGGGGGAGGGGAGAAAGUAUUGAUCCCAGUUCUUUCCGUAUAUUUGGAACCAAAAGAACAUAGGCAAAUGGAUAAUUGUUUUAAUUGUCGGGGUGGGGGGUGGGUUGGUAGGCAGGACCUUUGGGGUUUGUGUAAUUGGAGUAAUAAAUACAGUUUAUCUUUUAGCUCCGCCGUAUAUAUUCUUUCCCUUGAUACAUAUUGCACAUGAAAUGAACACAUGGUCUACUUGUCUUAGCAUGUUUGAAGCCCCAGACACCCAACAGUAUCAUUACAGGAAAAAGACAGAGCCCCCAAAGACUGCAGGCAGGAAGGUGACUGCCUUUGGGGCCAAUGGGGAAUUUAUCUUGACGUUGAACUUUUCUGGGAAGUGCACCCACUCGCUCAGACUCCCUUGCUGCGCAGAGUUCAGGUCUUCCCCAUGCUGAAGAGCAGGGAGGAGGUGUGGAAAAGAACAGCUGAUUUUUGACAUUUCAAAGGGACUCUUUCUAUUUAUCAGUGUUACCGAAGUGUACGUUACUGGAGAAACAACAAAACAAGCAUAGAGCUGCAAUUUUCAAGAAAAUAUAAAAAUAAAAAAGUAGCAGAUAAGAUGUAUAAUUCAAUCAAAUUACACAAAAUUGCUUGAAAAUCUAGAACAGUAGCGAUCCAUUAUGCCUCUGUUUUAUUAGUGACAAGUACAAUUACUCUAAAAUAAAGAACACUGGUGAAUAUAUAAUUGGCUGUAAUCAUGUUAGUGUUUGAAUAAAAAU
Molecule: long non-coding RNA, 2552 nt
Organism: Gorilla gorilla gorilla (western lowland gorilla)
Lineage: Eukaryota; Metazoa; Chordata; Mammalia; Primates; Hominidae
Exons: 3
Source: RefSeq, a predicted model, not a curated record